Long non-coding RNA from Hypomesus transpacificus, 344 nucleotides. RefSeq lists it as uncharacterized. The transcript is spliced from 2 exons. The record is from RefSeq and is a predicted model, not a curated record. NCBI's taxonomy places the organism in Eukaryota, Metazoa, Chordata, Actinopteri, Osmeriformes, Osmeridae.
ACGACUUUACAGUCUGUGGACUGCACUGCCCAGCAUUUGCAUGUAUUAUAACCACCUUGCAACUGCCUACCCUCACUGUUUCAUUACACUGUUUCAAUCAACAUAUUACUGCCGGUCGGUCAAAUGUAUUUCAUCAUGUUAAUCCCGGUUUGGAAGAUGGAUUUCAGAUGCUUAAAAUGCAACACUAACAAUGUACAUUUGGUGUCUUUGUUGUGAGUGGUGAUUGUUAUGUGUUUACUUCUAAUGUUCGGCUAAUCUAACUCUCUGACUGGAUUGAAUGACAUAUGUAGGCAUGUACAGUUCAAUAGUGAGUCAUUUAGUAAAAUAAAAACGUGUGGCCCACA